This 1011-nucleotide ribosomal RNA is filed under the name Cibicidoides dispars. RNAcentral's name for it is "bacterial SSU rRNA". It matches the Rfam family "Eukaryotic small subunit ribosomal RNA", at positions 1160 to 1828 of the family's 1831-position model. Lineage: Eukaryota; Foraminifera; Rotaliida; Anomalinidae. The record is from RNAcentral.
AAGGGCACCACAAGAACGCGUGGAGCAUGUGGCUUAAUUUGACUCAACGCGGGAAAUCUUACCGGGUCCGGACACACUGAGGAUUGACGGGCAAUAUUAAUACUGUGUUCGCACUGUAUUAUGUUAAAUAUGCUAGUCCUUUCAUGAUUAUGUGAUAGGUGGUGCAUGGCCGUUCUUAGUUCGUGGAGUGAUCUGUCUGCUUAAUUGCGUUUCACUAAGGGCCUAUAAAUUUACGUGUGUUGCGGCACUUUGACCCCUUUCUUUUUGAAAGCGCGCGUCUUAGUUUGCUUUGCUCACACAAUUAGGUCCUGAAAGCAACGAACGUGACCGCAACCUCUUGUUGCCUUUAUACCAAACAUGUUUGUCAUUUUUAUGGCAUUCAUGAAAAAAGGCUUUUUAAACUAGAGGGACCGCUGUUACUUUCUUAAACCAGAGGAAGGUUGCGGCAAUAACAGGUCUGUGAUGCCCUUAGAUGUUCCGGGCUGCACACGUGCUACAAUGAUUAUUGCAGUGAGCAUCUCAUUUUUACACACCGCAUGCGCGAGUCCAUUUAUUCACUUCGGUGCUUUAAAUGUGUAUCUCUGCGCGCGGUAAAGCCUGCUUCGAAAGUAAGUGGGUAAUCAAUUAGAAGUAAUGAUUUCCUUUUUAGCACACAUAUAUACGGCGUCUAUGCCCGGGUUACCUUGUUGUAACUUUUGUGUGUAUAGAUGUUUUUUCCGUAUGUGCGAUUGUCAAUUCAUGGUGGGGACAGACCAUUGUUAAUUGUUGGUCUCGGUCUUAACUAGGAAUGCCUUGUACGGGUCUUUGGUUCAACAAACCACCCGGAAUACGUCCCUGCCCUUUGUACACACCGCCCGUCGCUCUUACCGAUGGACUUCUCUGUGAGUUUGAGGGACUGGGAACGCAGAAAAUUUAUUUUCUGCACACCUAUGGAAACUUAAACGAACAGUGUGGUCUAAAGGAAAGAGAAGUCGUAACAAGGCAUCGGUAGGUGAACCUGCAGAAGGAUCA